AAUUAUAUUUAAUUACAAGUGUGCCCCUGGUAGUCUUUAACUGAAGGGCACUGACUGGGUCACUGGUGAAGUUCCCCGCAGGAACUGAGUCAGACCCCAUCUCAGGGCCCUGCACAAGAUAGGUGCCUGCUCUAAGGCGUGGACCCUCGCCACAGCCCUGGCCCGUCUUGACGGGCGAGGGUUACUGUACUUGUCCCAACCGUACAGAUGAGAAAGCUGAGACUCAGGGCCAGCAACCCGGGUCCCAGCGGAGCGCCCGGCACACGCCGACACUUCAGCACCAGUGGCGGUGGCCACCACUGUGGGCGGAGAUGGCUGCGACGCGUGCGCAGGUAAAGUCUAUGCGCGCCUUGCCUCCCACCGGCGCCUUCCCCGGCCUCUGGUUUUUGUCCCCGCCAGCGGCUCCGACUCCAUCGCGUCCUCUUCCAGUCUAGUGCUUUUUUCCAGAUCUCGAUCCCAAACUCCCUCCUGCCAGAAUCUGGACCCGAAUCCACCCAUUGCCCGUUUUCCGCUGCCGCUGGAGAGAAUCUCUGAGGUCCCCAGGAGAGCCUGCCUGCACGGAAGAGACGCCUCCUCGUGUCUUAGAAGUCAUGAAAAUUUCAGAAAAUGACAGGUCUUCUGAGUUCGUGAUGGGAGUUGGGCAGCAGUCGCAUACGAGCACCUGGAGAGUCCUUGCCAGUUCUUUGGGGAUGGGGAGCUCUUAAGACUGCCCUGAGACCGCCCUUUGACCUCAU
Molecule: long non-coding RNA, 734 nt
Filed under: Homo sapiens (human)
Lineage: Eukaryota; Metazoa; Chordata; Mammalia; Primates; Hominidae
Description: non-protein coding GLIDR:21
Source: RNAcentral